GACGAACGCUGGCGGCGUGCUUAACACAUGCAAGUCGAACGGAAAGGCCCUGCUUUUGUGGUGUGCUCGAGUGGCGAACGGGUGAGUAACACGUGAGUAACCUGCCCUUGACUUUGUGAUAACUCCUGGAAACUGGGGCUAAUACCGGAUACGAGCUCCUGCUGCAUGGUGGGGGUUGGAAAGUUUCGGCGGUUGGGGAUGGACUCGCGGCUUAUCAGCUUGUUGGUGGGGUAGUGGCUUACCAAGGCUUUGACGGGUAGCCGGCCUGAGAGGGUGACCGGCCACAUUGGGACUGAGAUACGGCCCAGAAUCCUACGGGAGGCAGGAGUGGGGAAUAUUGCACAAUGGGCGGAAGCCUGAUGCAGCAACGCCGCGUGCGGGAUGACGGCCUUCGGGUUGUAAACCGCUUUCGCCUGUGACGAAGCGUGAGUGACGGUAAUGGGUAAAGAAGCACCGGCUAACUACGUG
Molecule: ribosomal RNA, 468 nt
Filed under: uncultured bacterium
Lineage: Bacteria
Description: partial 16S ribosomal RNA
Rfam family: Bacterial small subunit ribosomal RNA
Source: RNAcentral